Molecule: long non-coding RNA, 304 nt
Organism: Eriocheir sinensis (Chinese mitten crab)
Lineage: Eukaryota; Metazoa; Arthropoda; Malacostraca; Decapoda; Varunidae
Exons: 3
Source: RefSeq, a predicted model, not a curated record
AUGAUAAGAAGAGAGCGUGGACUGAAGUGGCAGAAGCUGUAACAAGUGCCUUCCCUGGGAGUGGACCCCGUACGCAGGAUGACUGUGAGAGGCGUUGGUACAACGUACAACAAAAAUCAAAGCCUUGCAUUGCCAAGUGCAAGAAUGAGCAGCGGCAGACUGAUACACACUUUAUCAGUAUUGCUAGAGACCAUCCCAGCACAUUGUUCAUUACUUGUGGAAAAGAUACCAUUAGCUGCUCCAGCAACAGCCACUGCUUCAAUAUCUGCUGGCCCUAUGACACCAGCCACUGCUUCAAUAUCUG